CCUACGGGAGGCAGCAGUGGGGAAUAUUGGACAAUGGGCGAAAGCCUGAUCCAGCAAUGCCGCGUGAGUGAUGAAGGCCUUCGGGUCGUAAAGCUCUUUUACCAGGGAUGAUAAUGACAGUACCUGGAGAAUAAGCUCCGGCUAACUCCGUGCCAGCAGCCGCGGUAAUACGGAGGGAGCUAGCGUUGUUCGGAAUUACUGGGCGUAAAGAGUACGUAGGCGGUUAUUCAAGUCAGAGGUGAAAGCCCGGGGCUCAACCCCGGAACUGCCUUUGAAACUAGAUAACUAGAGUCUUGGAGAGGUUAGUGGAAUUCCGAGUGUAGAGGUGAAAUUCGUAGAUAUUCGGAAGAACACCAGUGGCGAAGGCGACUAACUGGACAAGUACUGACGCUGAGGUACGAAAGCGUGGGGAGCAAACAGGAUUAGAUACCCUGGUAGUCCACGCCGUAAACGAUGAUAACUAGUUGUUCGGUCACUUGGUGACUGAGUGACGCAGCUAACGCAUUAAGUUAUCCGCCUGGGGAUACGGUCGCAAGAUUAAAACUCAAAGGAAAUUGACGGNUGAGAGUUGCGAGAGACACGAGGAGAG
Molecule: ribosomal RNA, 589 nt
Filed under: uncultured bacterium
Lineage: Bacteria
Description: bacterial SSU rRNA
Rfam family: Bacterial small subunit ribosomal RNA
Source: RNAcentral